Molecule: long non-coding RNA, 1337 nt
Organism: Ictalurus punctatus (channel catfish)
Lineage: Eukaryota; Metazoa; Chordata; Actinopteri; Siluriformes; Ictaluridae
Exons: 4
Source: RefSeq, a predicted model, not a curated record
CUUUUAGAGGCAAAUGUGGUGCCUAAUAUCAGUGCUUUGACUGGCCCCUGUGUGGUGAUACCCUGUACUUUCCAGACUGGUGACAAAUUCAUUCCACGCCUUCGAGGUCUGUGGUACACCAGUGAGGGCAAAUAUGUUUACCACACUGGACAAUCCAAUGUUAUGGACAACUUUAAGGGCCGCACAAAGCUUCUGGGGAAUCCAGAUGAGAAGAACUGCACUUUAGAAAUUGAUAAUGUUCAAGCUCAUGAUAAAGGGCCAUUCUGUUUCCGUGCGGAAAAAGGAAACGAUAAGUACAGCUUCAACCACAGCUGUGUGUUCAUCAUCAUGAAAGCAUCUCCUGACAGGCCUGUGAUAUCAGCUUUGGCUCUUCCUGAGGAGAUGGAGCCAGGAAAGCAAUUCACAAUAAACUGUUCUGUCACGCAUACAUGUUUCUCACAUCCACCAACUAUCACAUGGAAUGUUCCGGCUGCCAGAGAAGUGGUGAGCCACGUGGAGAGAAGUGCAGGCAAAUGGGAAACAACCUCCACAAUUACUUUCAUCUAUGAAGAAGGCUAUGAAGAAGUAGAAAAUCUCAUUUGCUGAGCCUUUUUCAGAAUAUUUGGCCCUGCCAUUCCAAUACUUUCAGGGGGAACUGUAUUUGAACCUGGUCAAGCAGAUCAGAUUCAUAUGUACUUGUCAAUUUGCUCUAAAUGCAUAUAAAUUUAUGCAGUAAAUUUAUUUUAAUGUAUUAAUGUAACAUUUAAUCUAUUUUAACUUAUAAACAUCUAUAUGUUAUAAAUUAGUUUGUGGAAAAUAAGUCAUGAUUUAGUAAAUUAAGCAAGCACUGGUUUUUACAUACGCUUUUAUUUUAACAAUCAUAAAUAGUCAAUGAAAAUGUAACUUUUAUUCACAGAGUAAACAAUGUCAGUGCAGCAGCCACAUCUGCAGGAUAUUCAAAACCCCACUUUCCAUCACCAAAGAGUGAACCAAAGUGCUACAUAUCAGGUGGUGGCCACUUAGCACAUUAUGAUGAUGAUGAUUACACCAACACUGCAGAUUUCAAAAUGCAUCGGAAAAUAUAAUCAUGACAGAGGAGUCUAUGCAGAAGGAGUGAAAUACUAUUGUUUUUUUUCUAUAAGACUUGGCUAGUUUGGAUCUUAUGCAGUUUUUAAGAGUGUUGUUUUUUGUAGGAUAAUAUUAAGACAAAGCAGUGGUUACUGUAGCAGGUGUUUUGUGAUGGCAGAUAAAAUAGGAAAAGAAUGAAAUGAUAUUGAGAUACUGAGAAUAAGAAGAUUUUUCAAUGUAUGUUAUUCAUUUUGUUUUCAUAUGUCCUGUAUGUAUGAGUGUUGACAAGG